CACACACACACACACACAGUGCCACACACACACACUGCCACACACACACACACAGUGCCACACACACACACACACAGUGCCACACACACACACAGUGCCACACACACACAGUGCCACACACACACACACAGUGCCACACACACAGUGCCACACACACACACACACACACACACACACACACACACACACAGUGCCACACACACACACACACACACACAGUGCCACACACAGUGCCACACACACACAGUGCCACACACAGUGCCACACACACACAGUGCCACACACACAGUGCCACACACACACAGUGCCACACACACAGUGCCACACACACAGUGCCACACACACACAGUGCCACACACACAGUGCCACACACACAGUGCCACACACAGUGCCACACACACACACACACACA
Oncorhynchus tshawytscha (Chinook salmon) is the source of this 412-nucleotide long non-coding RNA. The record is from Ensembl. NCBI's taxonomy places the organism in Eukaryota, Metazoa, Chordata, Actinopteri, Salmoniformes, Salmonidae.